Molecule: RNA transcript, 8151 nt
Organism: Mirounga angustirostris (Northern elephant seal)
Lineage: Eukaryota; Metazoa; Chordata; Mammalia; Carnivora; Phocidae
Gene: ZNF281
Gene name: zinc finger protein 281
Exons: 2
Source: RefSeq, a predicted model, not a curated record
UCUGACCUAUAAUUAUUCCAUAUAUUAGAUGGUCUCAAUCACUAAUUCCCAAAGUGUAAUCCUAGAAAUAAAAGUUCCGCAGCCUAUUAAUAAGCCUUGUUUGGAAAAGGGUUAUGCAAAUAAAUUUGAGAAAUGCCGGGCUAGGCCAAGUUCAGCAGGUUUCUUGACGGUAAGACUUAAUGUGAUUUGUAAACCUUGGAUGGGGGAGAAUGUGAGGCGUUCCCCAAAUGCACUGGUCAACUUUCUUUCCAGGGAAGGUCUUGUAGGACCCGUGUUCUAGGAACUACACAUUGAGAAACACUUGUCUGUAGAUUUGUUCCUGUUUGAAAACACUUUAUCCGAGGAAAAGUGGACAAGUUUUAUGAAGGAAAAGUAGAUAUAGGGAAGACAGAAGACUACCAAAGGGUUUAUUUUGGAGAUUUUUUUUUUUUUUUUAAAUAACCUAAGACCAAAAAGGCAACAGGGAGGUCUAUGGUAGUGAAUGAACACGUUAUAAGAAAACACAUUUUACAAUAAUUUUUAAAAAGUGCAUUGAGGAUUACAUAUUGGUGAAAAUAUAAAGAGGCAGCUAAAAUAAUACCAUUCUCACUAAAUACACAAUUUAGUGUAAGGAUCUCAUUAAGAUUCAUGUUCUGAAAACGUUUCAUUUCUCAAAUAGGCUUGGGCCUUUUAUGUAUAAUUUAACAAUGGAAACCAUAACAACAAUAAUGUAUGGAUAGGAAGAGUUUAUCCUCUUGAACGAACAAAUUAGGUCAUCGUCAAGCAGUUUUAUUUAAUGGGAAUCCCCGCGAGGUACUUUCACAGUGAGAAAUGGCUCUUCUCCUGUUAGAAAAGAAUGCUGAAAAGAACAUUCCCCUCCGUUUCGCACAAGACCUGGAGUUGUGCCACAAGAAUUGUCAAUGUAUUAACCACCCCCACCCUCCUACUGGUGUUGGCAUGCAUCAUCCAAUCCAGUUGUCUAUCAGCGGGGAGCCCUCGUUCGAAGCAAGGCCGGAUCCACAACCUCUCCACUCUGCACCCGGGGCUAGGUCUGAGUGUUUGAAGAAAACAGAGCCGCUUCUCACUUGCUCUCUGCCCUGCGGUUCCAGCUGGAUAAGUCUAGGAGACGUCCAGCAGAUCUCUGAUUUGGGGCUUUUUAAUAAGCGUCCCUAAUAAGAUCAUCGAUCAAAAAGCAAGAGCACUAAGUAUGCCUAAAUGUAGGAAUUCUUUCUGAUGAGGGUAAUAAUACAAAGGAAACCGAAGUUCUACUUUUGACUCCCCAUGGGUGAUGGGCGUCUGGUCUUAACAUCUGCCCGGGGCGGGAGACCCACCUCCAACACCUUUCUCUUUCUCAGCAAGCCUGGGUCUGAAACAGGAGCGGGGGAUUUGUUGGUGAUGGGUUUCUAGAGCACCAGAGGAGGGAAAUCCAGAACUUCCUUUGGAGAGAUCGUGACCUUCCUAACAGGUACCAUCAUCAGGAUGGUAAUUCUUGAAAUAUGUAAAUAAAAGUCGCGCUAAAAAUAGCAGUGCCGGCCGGCCGGCCGGCGUACCUAAGGGAUUGCUGCAGUCUGACUGCGAUUCUUCCCAGGCCACAGCGUGUCAGAUAAGCAUCUGCUCGUUUUCGGUUUUGCUUUUGCAAGAGCUCGCCCCCCAGGGGGAGCUCAGCCGCCCAGCGCAGCCGGCGGGGCGCGGCGGCUCCGGGACUCCGUCCAGGGCCCGCGCCGCGGGGACCGUGCAGCCGGGAGAGCGCGGGGCUGCGCGCGCCCCGGAACCUCGGCGCGGGGGGGUUUCAUCUAAUAUUAAUUGUUUUAACUUCUUGUGGUUUAAGCGGUUUUAUUGGCAGCAAGAUGCAGGCAGCAGCGCGUUAGGGGCGAAGGCUUCGGAUUGCGCUCACAGGGGAGACAAUGGGCUGGAAUCUGAGAAAACAAACCCAAGAUGUUAAUUAGCCGCUAAGGCACUCGGGGCACUUUGCAAAUACUAACAUAGCCUACUUGUAAACUCCCGAGGGCUGCGACUUCGUUAUUUGUUUGACUUCCAUGGAUCUCAGAGAAAACCAUCUAUUUUAAAGAGGAACGAGGUUGGUCCACCGUAAGUGAUACGUAAAAUGGCACAGACUAACAGAGGGAAGGGCCGAGGGUUGUCCUUGACUGUUUAUUGUGUUGUAGGCAACUGCGUUCUUUAUUCUGUUUCAUCCUUUCCACCACCUGGUGAGGUAGGGGGUGUUCUCACCGCACUGCCGGUGAGCAAGGGUCCCGCGCCCCCGCCCCGCCCUGGCUGACUGCAGAGGGGCCGCCAGACAGUCUCUCUGGCGGGGACCUCGGGGGAGCCUGUGGCCGUCGGUGCCCUGAAGCAUGGAUUCGGAGCAUCAGCAGCUUGCCUUUGAAACCUUGGGCUGUGUGACUCUGAGCGGGUUAUUUGCCCUGGCUCAGUUUCCGUUUAUACCUAGCUCCUGGGUUUGCUGGAAGACUUAAGGCCGCUCACCCAGAGCCAGGCAGGAGCCUGGGGGAGGGGGGGGGCGCUCAAGGAGUGGAAGGAAUGCCUAAUUUCUUUAUCUCUCAGUGGGUGGUGACUUCUGCCCCACAGCCUGCAAAUAGGCUGUAAAAACUUAAAAAAAAAAAAAAACCAAUAACAAUAAACAAACUGUGCAAUAAACAGGUAGUUGAAUUAGUCGCUGAGUUUGGAUCCGGGAAAAGGUUCAAAUCCUGGCUCUGCCCUGCUGAUUGUGUGACCCGAGGCCAGUUAAUUAACUGUGGAUGCCUCAGUUUCCUCCUAUGUAAAAUGAAGGUAAUAGGGUGGCUAUGAGAAUGAAGGGGCAUGCCUGGGAUGCCCUUUACAUGGAGGUAUAGCACCUCCUGAGGGCAAAAUCAUUGUCUGUUAGUAUUAUUUCCUUCAGAUACCAAAAUGGAGCAUUUUCUCUUCCGGAUUCAUAUGCUGAUGGUUCCAGAAGAGAACUGUUGGAUUUCUGUCUUACUAUUCUGCUGGUCACACCUCAAUUUCUUUUCCCAUUCACACUAUUUCACAUUUUUUCUUACUGGGUCCCAGAUAUUGUUCCAUAAUGUCCUUCUGCCUCUUUCUAGACUGAGGGAGACACUGGACGGCUGACUCCUAUUGCAUUCACAUACCAUUAUAGUGAGCCAGGUGCUGUGGGUAUGUGUUGGGGGGGUGGGGGGGAUGCAGGGAUCCAGACACCAUAAAGAAGCUGUGCCUGUGCUCAAGGAACUCCCAAAGAAAGAUGGAAAGACAGGGAAUAAGUAUUAAAAAUCCAAGGCAGGGGGUGCCUGGGUAGCUCAGUGGGUUAAGUCUCCUAUCUUUUUUUUUUUUUUGGUCAGAGAAGAGCGAGAGAGAGCACAAGCAGGGGGGAGCGGCAGGCAGAGGGAGAAGCAGGCUCCCUGCGGUACAAGAAGUGGGAUGUGGGACUUGAUCCCAGGCCUCUGGGAUCAUGACCUGAGCCAAAGGCAGAUUUAACCAACUGAGCCACCCCAGCAUCUCUAAGCCUCCUACUCUUGAUUUUGGCUCAGGUCAUGAUCUUAGGGUUGUGAGAUCAAGCCCUGCCUCCCGGAUCCGUGCUGCUUUAAGAUUCUCUUUCCCUUUCCCUCUGCCCCUACCCUCUAAAAAUUAAAGAAAAUUAAAAAAAAAGAAGAAGAAAAGAAAAGAAAUCCAAGGCAGAAUGAGGUGAGUGCAUGUGAGGAGCUGGUCAGGUAGACUGUAGUAGCGGGUGUCAGAAAUGUGGUAGGAGGUGUCAGAAAUGUGGUAGGAUCUGGGAUGGGUAGAAUCCCUGGAAAGGAUGGAUUGGAGACAGAGAGAGCUGAGACAGAAGGGAGCAGGAGCCUGAGCAAAACUGUUGGUGGUGGUGGUGGGGGACAGCGAAAGGAGGGUUUGGGAAGCAUGUUUUCCUUUCCGAGAUGGUUUAAGGGAGUAGUAAAGGAUGGAGCCAGGGCUGAUGCUGAAUGAAGGGAACCGAUGGUGGGAGGGCCAUAAGCAGGGUGAGGUUUCCCAGGGUCGGAUGACGGUGAAGAGCAGUUUUAUUAAUGUUUUGGUAAAGUGUGAGAGGUGAAAGGUAAGGAAAUUGUGGCUGGGAGCCUGGGCUCUGGGUGGAGACUGAUGUUCCAAAGGGCACCCAGGGGGCUGCCGGGAUGCUGCUCCCCCUGGGCUGUGGCCAAGGGGGGUGAUGAUAAAGGGAUGGGGCAGGGAGAAAGUGGGGAGGGACUUGUGUUUGCAUUGCUUCUGGGCUUCCUGUGCCCUGGAACCUAUUUUCUCAGAGAAACGGUAUUAGACAAUGUGUCCAGGUUCUAAAGUGAACUCAUAAAGCCCAUUUAAUCCACAGUGUUUCACAUCAUAUCAUAGUACACAAAGCCUAUUAAUCCACAAUGUGUCAUAGCAUACCACAGUACACUUGGUAUGAAUUACCAAGACCGUGUCUUAGAAUUUAAUGUCUGUGGGAAAAUUCAUUGCGAAUUCCAAGUAAUGGGCUAGGAACAUGAUGGUCAGCUGGGAACUCUCUGAUAUGAAACAGUUACACUGUGUGCCCAGGGAAUGUUUACCUGGAGAACACCUGUUCUGUUGCAAACCACCCGAUAACAUUGGGGUUGGCAAAUGAGAAAAGAAAUUUCUUCCUAGUAGCUUAUGUUCUAUGCUUUUUAUGGUUUAGAAUUUAAAAGACACAGCAAAUAUUAUUCUUGUGUUACAUUUGCAGAUAAUAAAUUUUUAUCCUUAUAACUGAAGAGAGAAUAAAUAUACUUCAUUGACAGCAUUUGUUGUCAAUGGUAGUUGUUGAUCAUCGGCCUUUUAAACUGGUCCUGCGACGUUUUUCCUGUCCUGGGAUUUUAGAAUCAAUGACUAGUACGGUUAUGAGAGGUCACGCUUAGACAUCUGUAUGGAUAAAAACUACAAAGAGCUCAAUCGUGGAGUAUUUUAAAAAGUGGAUCCUUUUGAAUAGAUAUGACAUGUUAUUUCUUAUAUUAUUGUCACCUUUGCCAUUGUCAUUAUAAUCAGCAGUAACAUCAUGCCAUUUAUUAAAUGCUUACUGUAUGCCCAGGACACCCUUUGAGAACCUCUACCUUAAAGCACCUAUUACCAUUUUGCAGCAAAAACUAGUUUUUGCCAAACAGUGCCCCGGAGAACUGCAUUAGCCAUCAUCUAAGAUUUUUUUUUUUUUGUCAAUCAACAAACAUGGACCAAAUACUGUGCCAGACACUGGGAAAUCAGUUCUGAUUAAAAUGAAUCUGUUGUCCUAGAACUUAAAGUUGGAAAGGUACAUAAUUAAGUAAAUCAUUCCGGGUACACGAAGUGCUAUGUAGGGGUAGUGCAGAGUAUUGAAGCAUAUGGGAGGGGAUCUGUUCUCAGGCGAGAGUGGUCAAGGAGGGUUUUUACAGACAAGAUGGACAAGACAGAUAGGCAGGAGUUAACCAAGUAAAAAGAAGGAUCAUGAGCCCACAGAGGGAGUUGAGUGUAUGGAGCUUGAGGGGUGGGUGAGAGUGUGGUGCCUGAGGAACUGAAAGGGGUCAGAUACAGUUGGAGGUGAGAAAUUGACUGAGAAGCUGCUGGAGAUGAGGCUGGAGAGAUGAUAGGAGUCAGGCUCCCUGAAGGAGCUGGAUCUUAAUGCUGAGGGCGUGGGGAAGUCACUGAAAAUUUUGGAGCCAAGAAUAAUCAGAUUUGUAUUGUAAAAUUUGUCACUUUGCCAGCGGAGACUGGACUGGAGGGGUCAAGAAUAAAGGGGACGAGGUAGACGUGUCCAGGUGAGAUAUAAGGGGGUCUGGAUUAGGGUGGUGAUGUUGGGAUCAGAAGGAACUAAGAUUUACCACAUACCAUGUUACACCAAUUCUUUUUUUUUAAAUUAUGAAAUAACCUUCUUUAUUACCAUGUUACACCAAUUCUGAAAUGUAUAGGUGUCAUAUUUUCAUCUCUGAAAUUGUGAUAAGGCUUAGAUUUGGUGGAGGUUUUGUUUCUUAGAGGCACACAAGACAGUGGUGCAUCCAGUAACCUAUGGCUUCUGGUGUUAGAUGAAAUAUGGCGCGCAAGAGGUCAAACCUGCCGGUCUUGGUGGUGCGGUGCUCACGGGGCCAGGGGCCUGAGCAGCCAGCUGAAUGGUGGGGCUGCAGUUCCAGCAGAGAAAAGGCUUUAUGAGAACAGUUUUAUUCUUCUGAUUUUUUUUUUUUAACUUGGAAAAGUCCAAGUGAGAAAAGCCGUUGGUUAAUAUAUACCAGGAGAUGAGGUGCCGAUUUAAAAAAUUGUGAAGUAGUCUAUCUAGGUUUUAAUUGUUGAUAUUAAAUUGCUUUUAUUCAUUUUAUUAAAUGUUGUUUUACUAAUUGCUGAUGCUAAACUGGUUUCUCGUAUAGAUGUAUUUCCCAGUUUGAUCUCUCUUGAUCUCCCUUUAAAGCAGUAUAUUUACAUUUCCUGCUGUAGUUAGCAUUCCUUCCUAUCAGUUUUACUAUCUGUCUCUUGAGGAUUCAAUAACUUUAAUUUAUGCAUGAUAGACCACGUGGUGAUACCAAGUAUUUGUUUUGUUGGUGUCUUUAUGGCUCAGUUGUUCUGGAAUGUCCUUUCACUGCCUAUUAGCAAAGCAACCACAUUCAAUAUAACUGUCGUCAGGAAUAAGGAGUCAUUUCAGGUAAAUAUUGAAAAGAUUUAGCUGUCUUCCAGUUUAUCUUGGAGGACAUUUUUAGCUGAAGAAUAACAGGCUUACAGGUAAUAGUUAUUAGUAACCUGACUAAGGAGUUUAGAAAUUCUGGAGGUUCUGUCCUAGACUUGCCUAUGGCAAAAUUUGAAACAUUGAUGGCUAAUGUGUUCUCUUCUCUGUCUUGCAUAUGGACCUGAUAAUGGUUUAGAAGCAUUAUACUGUACCUCUGACCAAUUUUAAUUUAAGCAUUAGAAAUUAAAUUUCUAAUGUUGUUGUUUUGAAGAUGAUCAUGUUUAUUUACUUUUUAAAUGCAUGCGGCAUUUAGAACAAUUUCCAAGUGCUUUCCUUUGCUAUGGGGUUGGCCUGACAGCAGACCUUGGAGGUGAAUCUAUAACUACUGCGGGCAUUUGUGAAAGUAGAUUCUUCUGAUCUGUGACUCCUGUUUUGGGAAGAUUAUCAGAUGAGUCUCCUACAGUGUCAUUUCCCUGUGGGUACUGGAACUUUGGAACUGCAGCUGCAUGUUCCCUGGUCUUAUCCUGCUUGUGGGGGCAAAGCAAUCCAUGGAAAAGGGUAGAGCAAGGGGAGCUAUACCUGGAGGUCCAGCUGAGUGAACAGAGUUCAUUUGUCUUGCUUGGCUGGAAAUACAGUGAGUGGUGUCUGAUUUAGCUAGUUCAGGUCUGCAGUUGAGGCUCUCUGGCUACUGGAGGAGAGAAACCUUUUUUUAAGAGAUAGGGAGGGACAGAGGGAGAGGGAGAGAAUCUUAAGCAGGCUCCAUGGGGCUCGAUCUCAUCAUGAUCCUGAGAUCAUGACCUGAGCCAAAAUCAAGAGUAGGACACUGAACCGACUGAGCCACCCAGGUACCCUGAGAAACCAGGAAUAUUACAAAGUAAAACAGUAUGAACUUCUGAUAGUGGUGAGAGCAUGGAAUAUGCCUCCUCUGAUAUGGCUCUUUUGCCCGUGGCUAUCAAUAAUAAUUUAGCAAAGGGGCGCCUGGGUGGCUCAGUCGUUAAGCGUCUGCCUUCGGCUCAGGUUGUGAUCCAGGGUCCUGGGAUCGAGCCCCGCAUCGGGCUCCCUGCUCCACGGGAAGCCUGCUUCUCCCUCUCCCACUCCCCCUGCUUGUGUUCCUGCUCUCGCUAUCUCUCUCUGUUGAAUAAAUAAAUAAAAUCUUUAAAAAAAAAAAAUAAUUUAGCAAAUCCUGUCUUUGUUUAUAUGCACACCAGUAUAUGUUCUUAAGGGGAAUAACCAAGAUUGAUUUAUUUAGAAUGCAAGGAUUCAUUUUAUAAGUUGGAUGAUAAUGUUUAUCUCAUGAAACACAAGGAAGGCCGAUCAGAUCAGUUCCUAGAUGCACUGGAAGGGAUUACAACAUCGCAUUGCAUGUCCCUCUUUUUAUCUAUAGCUUUAAAACAGAAUACUAUUGCAUGAGCAAUUUCAUGUUCUAUGAUAGGCAAAAUACCUAGAGAAUAAGCCUUCCUGUGAUUUCUUUUUAUUUUUUUAUUUUUUAAGAUUUUAUUUAUUUAUUUGACAGAGACAGAGAUAGCGAGAGAGGGAACACAAGC